AUGGCAGCGCCGACCUCCUCCGCCUCUGCCUGCUCCGGCGAGCGGUGGCCCCCGCUCGAGUCCAGACCCGAAGUCUUCAACCAGUUCAUGUGGUCGCUGGGUGUCCCGCGGGGCGAGGCCGAGUUCCACGACGUGUACGGGCUAGACGCCGACGCGCUGGCCAUGGUGCCCCAGCCCGUGCUCGCCGUCGUCUUCUGCUUCCCCGAUCCGCCCGAGGAUCCAGCAGCCCCUCCAGAACAAGUCUCAGCUACUGAAGACAAGGAAAGUUUGGAUGGGGUGUAUUUCAUAAAACAGAUCGACUCAUUAGGAAAUGCUUGUGGAACUAUCGCUUUACUUCAUGCUGUUGGAAAUGCAUGUUCAGAAAUCAGUCUAUUGGAGAAUUCAGGCUUGGACCUGUUUUUCAAAUCAACAGCCAGCAUGGACCCGUAUGAGCGUGUCAGAGUGUUGGAGAAGGACGAUGACAUGGCAAGAGCUCACUCAUUGGCUGCCAAUGCUGGUGACACAGAGAUCGGUGACAUUGUAGAAGAGCAUUAUGUUUGUUUCACAACUCUCAAUGGGACACUUUACGAGCUCGAUGGAAUAAAGGGUGGACCAAUAAAGCAUGGUCCCUCAUCUCCUGAAAGUUUACUGCAGGAUGCCGUGAAUGUCAUCAAGGCGAUGAUGCAGAGGAUUCCCAAUUCGGUAAACUUCAAUGUGAUGGUGCUAUCGAGGAAACUGAAGUAA
RNAcentral lists this ribosomal RNA (723 nucleotides) under Triticum aestivum (bread wheat). Its description in RNAcentral is "partial small subunit ribosomal RNA". The record is from RNAcentral. Lineage: Eukaryota; Viridiplantae; Streptophyta; Magnoliopsida; Poales; Poaceae.